This 497-nucleotide ribosomal RNA is filed under the name uncultured bacterium. RNAcentral describes it as "partial 16S ribosomal RNA". It matches the Rfam family "Bacterial small subunit ribosomal RNA", at positions 28 to 507 of the family's 1533-position model. The record is from RNAcentral.
GAUGAACGCUGGCGGCGUGCCUAGUACAUGCAAGUCGAGCGAACAGACGAGGAGCUUGCUCCUCUGACGUUAGCGGCGGACGGGUGAGUAACACGUGGAUAACCUACCUAUAAGACUGGGAUAACUUCGGGAAACCGGAGCUAAUACCGGAUAAUAUAUUGAACCGCAUGGUUCAAUAGUGAAAGACGGUUUUGCUGUCACUUAUAGAUGGAUCCGCGCCGCAUUAGCUAGUUGGUAAGGUAACGGCUUACCAAGGCAACGAUGCGUAGCCGACCUGAGGGGGUGAUCGGCCACACUGGAACUGAGACACGGUCCAGACUCCUACGGGAGGCAGCAGUAGGGAAUCUUCCGCAAUGGGCGAAAGCUUGACGGAGCAACGCCGCGUGAGUGAUGAAGGUCUUCGGAUCGUAAAACCCUGUUAUUAGGGAAGAACAAAUGUGUAAGUAACUAUGCACGUCUUGACGGUACCUAAUCAGAAAGCCACGGCUAACUACGUG